Long non-coding RNA from Oncorhynchus tshawytscha (Chinook salmon), 503 nucleotides. NCBI's taxonomy places the organism in Eukaryota, Metazoa, Chordata, Actinopteri, Salmoniformes, Salmonidae. The record is from Ensembl.
AGGGUAGAGUACCGGGUGGUAGCCGGCUAAUAACAGUGACUAUAGUUCAGGGUAGAGUACCGGGUGGUAGCCGGCUAGUAACAGUGACUACGGUUCAGGGUAGAGUACCGGGUGAUAGCCGGCUAGUAACAGUGACUACGGUUCAGGGCAGGGUACUGGGGUAGCCGGCUAGUAACAGUGACUAAGGUUCAGGGUAGAGUACCGGGUGAUAGCCGGCUAGUAACAGUGACUAAGGUUCAGGGCAGGGUACUGGGCGGAGGCCAGUAACAGUGACUAAUGUGUCAGGGCAGGGUACUGGGCGGAGGCUGGCUAGUGGUGACUGUUUAACAGUCUGAUGGCCUGGAGAUAGAAACUGUUUUUUCAGUCUCUCGGUCCAACUUUGAUGCACCUGUAGUGUCUCCACCUUCCAGAUGGUAGCAGGGUGAAGAGGCCGUGACUCUGGUGGCUGAGGUCCUCGAUGAUCUUCUAGAUGGUAGCAGGGUGAACAGUCCGUGACUCUGGUG